GAGGGUGUAGCUCAAGUGGUAGAGCACAUGCUUAGCAUGCACGAAGUCCUGGGUUCAAUCCCCUAGUACCUCCU
This 74-nucleotide transfer RNA is filed under the name Camelus bactrianus (Bactrian camel). It matches the Rfam family "tRNA". Rfam says of the family: Transfer RNA (tRNA) molecules are approximately 80 nucleotides in length. RNAcentral also lists the same sequence under 2 other names. The record is from Rfam by way of RNAcentral. Lineage: Eukaryota; Metazoa; Chordata; Mammalia; Artiodactyla; Camelidae.